CACGUAGGAGCCAAGCGUUAUCCGAAUUCACUGGGCGUAAAGCGCGUGCAGGCGGCUCGGUAAGUUGGAUGUGAAAUCUCCUGGCUCAACUGGGAGAGGCCGUUCAAUACUGUCGGGCUAGAGGGCAGCAGAGGGAGGUGGAAUUCCCGGUGUAGUGGUGAAAUGCGUAGAUAUCGGGAGGAACACCAGUGGCGAAGGCGGCCUCCUGGGCUGCACCUGACGCUCAGACGCGAAAGCUAGGGGAGCGAACGGG
This 253-nucleotide ribosomal RNA is filed under the name uncultured bacterium. Its description in RNAcentral is "partial 16S ribosomal RNA". It matches the Rfam family "Bacterial small subunit ribosomal RNA", at positions 524 to 776 of the family's 1533-position model. The record is from RNAcentral.